GAGCCAAUACUUUUUUCGGUAUAGGUCUUUUUGCCAGCUUUUACUUGAUUUAUUUAGUUUGAUUUAAUAUUUCCUAAUGAACAGACGUACUCCGGAACAACGUUUGCAAAUCGUGCAAAAUUAUACCAAAAUAAUGGCAUCGCGCACGCUGUAUCUUGGUAAGCGGGCUUUCAGAGUCAAGUUCGUACAAGAAUUGAAGCCGCAUGACCAUCAAACGAAAAGCACAUUUCGGAAUUCGUUUUUAAUGAAAUUAUUUACAAUCAAAAGAUUUCGGAAGUAUAAGUAGAUGACCAAUGUUUACCAAUCUCAGGCAUAAAGGAACCAUAACCAAAAGACGAAGAUCAAAGGUGAUAUAAAUCAAAUAUAAAAGACCGGAAUUCAGAAAUUUCAAACUAUAGAUCAAAUGUAAAAAGAUAUAUUAAAAGCUCAAAAACCAAGUAUCCACAGUUAGAGAUUAGCGAUGAGAGAUCUCUGUGAGGAGGCCAAAAAAUAUACUUGAAUUGUACAAUAUAAUUGACAAAAGGCUGUACGUCAAAGAGUGAAGGCCAAGGGUUUAGGAUAAAGAUCGAAGAGCAGACUUUAUAUGUUCAAGCCCAAAUGUCAUGUCACUAUUUAGAAGAACGAAGAAAUUUUAUAAAAAAUCUAA
This is a long non-coding RNA of Bactrocera oleae (olive fruit fly), 646 nucleotides long. RefSeq lists it as uncharacterized. The record is from RefSeq and is a predicted model, not a curated record. Lineage: Eukaryota; Metazoa; Arthropoda; Insecta; Diptera; Tephritidae.